This 253-nucleotide ribosomal RNA is filed under the name uncultured bacterium. RNAcentral's name for it is "partial 16S ribosomal RNA". It matches the Rfam family "Bacterial small subunit ribosomal RNA", at positions 524 to 776 of the family's 1533-position model. The record is from RNAcentral.
UACGUAGGGUGCAAGCGUUAAUCGGAAUUACUGGGCGUAAAGCGUGCGCAGGCGGUUAUGUAAGACAGGGGUGAAAUCCCAGGGCUUAACCUUGGAAAUGCAUUUGUGACUGCAUAGCUAGAGUACGGUAGAGGGGGAUGGAAUUCCGCGUGUAGCAGUGAAAUGCGUAGAUAUGCGGAGGAACACCGAUGGCGAAGGCAAUCCCCUGGACCUGUACUGACGCUCAUGCACGAAAGCGUGGGGAGCAAACAGG